This 412-nucleotide ribosomal RNA is filed under the name uncultured prokaryote. RNAcentral's name for it is "bacterial SSU rRNA". It matches the Rfam family "Bacterial small subunit ribosomal RNA", at positions 505 to 918 of the family's 1533-position model. The record is from RNAcentral.
GUGCCAGCCGCCGCGGUAAUACGGAGGGGGCUAGCGUUACUCGGAUUCACUGGGCGUAAAGCGCGCGUAGGCGGGGGCGAAAGUCGGGCGUUAAAGCCCACGGCUCAACCGUGGACCAGCGUCCGAAACUCCGUCCCUUGGGGCCGGGAGAGGCCGGUGGAAUUCCCGGUGUAGCGGUGAAAUGCGCAGAUAUCGGGAAGAACACCAGAGGCGAAGGCGACCGGCUAGACCGAGCCCGACGCUGAGGUGCGAAAGCCAGGGGAGCGAACCGGAUUAGAGACCCGGGUAGUCCUGGCCGUAAACGAUGGACACUAGGCGUGGGAGUGUCGAGCUCCCGUGCCGUAGCUAACGCAUUAAGUGUCCCGCCUGGGGAGUACGCUCGCAAGGGUGAAACUCAAAUGAAUUGACGGGG